UCACUUGGGAAUGUGCGAUUGAAUAUUUGUCACCUAACCGUUCCAUCUCGUUCGAUUAGAACAACCGGGUACACCCACUCAAUACUAUAAAAUCUGGACAGGUAUGUAGACCCAUAAAUGAUGGAGUUUUUUCCGGCAUGCAGUAAUUCGUUGGGCACCAGGAAUGCGUAAUGUUCCACGUUUGUUAUUACUGAAUUCGCAUGAACCAUGAAUGAAACGAGAUCCGGCCAUGAAUGGGGGCCCUUUUACUACUCGCUCUAUUUUCCAAUUCAUUGGUGUUGUAGUGCUUUUUGUGCUCCUAUGUGUUGUAGGUUUAUUCUUCUCUUCGUUCUAUUGAAGCUUAGUUCAUUUGAAACGUUCUACGAUGAGGAAUUAUCGAAUUUAGGAUAGACCAUUUCGAGUAUGAGUCGUAUAUAAGUCAUAAUUCCUAUUCUUGAUUUGUCAAUCAAUGGAAAUCACACCAAAGCUCAGCGUUUCUUCAAUAUACUCUGAGAAAACAGCUGAUUUCUAAACAUGUACUUUUGAAGAUUGAACCUUGAUAAUACAAAGUGCGAUAGCUUUCUCUGAAAUAUGCAGUCUUGUUGGAAUUUGGUAUUGGAGCUUCUUUAUAUCUGGUGGAGGAUAUUUGGCGAUAACGUCAAAUGUUUUUUAAGUAUUGGGGAACUUUCCAUUUGGAUUUAGGUGAAAAAGUGAGUUUUAGGUACAUCUUUAUUUGAAAAAUACCACUGCAAAAUUUCAUUUUAUAUAUUAUUAUAUUUAUGUACAGGGUGUUCUAAAAAAAGGUACAUAGCAUGCUCUAGUAUAGGUAAAAAAUCGAAAAACAAUUGGGUUUGCUUAGUAGUAGUAACGCCAUAGGCGUCGUAGCCAGGGUUGAGUUUCGGGGGGAGUUUGAAAUAGAAUUUUUCUGAUUUUGACAUAUAAAUAGAGACUCUUUGAAACUAAUAUUAUGUACCUAUAUUAUUUCGGGGGGGUUUGAACCCCCAAACCCCCCCUGGCUACGGCCGUGAGUAACGCCAUCCGUAUUUACGAUAAAGGGCGUUGAAAUUUUAUAAGAAUAUGUCUCGGAAGCUGAUACAUCCCAUGAAUUUGUUUUUACAUCUGACUCUCAUAGAGGGCGCUAAUUAGACGGUUAGUACCAAGUAGUAUUAGGGAAUCCAAACCACGUUACUUUCAACUGUCAAUAUGGCGCCUGGUUGGCAAACAGAGA
Coccinella septempunctata (seven-spotted ladybird) is the source of this 1207-nucleotide long non-coding RNA. RefSeq lists it as uncharacterized. The record is from RefSeq and is a predicted model, not a curated record. Lineage: Eukaryota; Metazoa; Arthropoda; Insecta; Coleoptera; Coccinellidae. The transcript has 3 exons.